GUGCUUUACUUUCCUGAUUAAUUUGCUGUUAUUUCAUUUAAUUGCAAAUAUUUGUUCAUGUGAAGCUAGAAUAAAUGUUCCCCUCGCUAUCCGGUGCGUCUCGUAAUGGUUCAUUUGGACGUUGGGAAACUACAUUU
Molecule: non-coding RNA, 137 nt
Organism: Daucus carota subsp. sativus
Lineage: Eukaryota; Viridiplantae; Streptophyta; Magnoliopsida; Apiales; Apiaceae
Source: Rfam